RNAcentral lists this ribosomal RNA (444 nucleotides) under uncultured bacterium. RNAcentral describes it as "partial 16S ribosomal RNA". It matches the Rfam family "Bacterial small subunit ribosomal RNA", at positions 354 to 796 of the family's 1533-position model. The record is from RNAcentral.
GUAGGGAAUAUUGGGCAAUGGUCGGAAGACUGACCCAGCCAUGCCGCGUGCAGGAAGACGGCCCUCUGGGUUGUAAACUGCUUUUAUCUGGGAAGAAAAAGGCCAUGCGUGGCAAAUUGCCGGUACCAGAUGAAUAAGCACCGGCUAACUCCGUGCCAGCAGCCGCGGUAAUACGGAGGGUGCGAGCGUUGUCCGGAUUUAUUGGGUUUAAAGGGUGCGUAGGCGGUUGAUUAAGUCAGCGGUGAAAGACUUCGGCUUAACCGGAGCAGUGCCGUUGAUACUGGUUGGCUUGAGUGUCGGAGGGGUACAUGGAAUUGAUGGUGUAGCGGUGAAAUGCAUAGAUACCAUCAGGAACACCGAUAGCGAAGGCAUUGUACUGGCCGACAACUGACGCUGAUGCACGAAAGUGUGGGGAUCGAACAGGAUUAGAAACCCGAGUAGUCC